RNAcentral lists this ribosomal RNA (391 nucleotides) under Chrysophyceae sp. RNAcentral describes it as "partial small subunit ribosomal RNA". It matches the Rfam family "Eukaryotic small subunit ribosomal RNA", at positions 582 to 975 of the family's 1831-position model. The record is from RNAcentral. Lineage: Eukaryota; Chrysophyceae.
AUUCCAGCUCCAAUAGCGUAUACUAAAGUUGUUGCAGUUAAAAAGCUCGUAGUUGAAUUUCUGGUCUCGGACAGCGGUCUGCCUCAAACGAGGUACGCACCACCUGUUCAGGUCCAUCCUCGGAGAAAACAUGCCUGUGAUUCAGUUCAUGGGUAUGGGAUCUUCGUCAUUUACUGUGAGCAAAAUAUAGUGUUCAAAGCAGGCUUAUGCCGUUGAAUACAUUAGCAUGGAAUAAUAAAAUAAGACCUUGGUCUAUUUUGUUGGUUUGUACUCCAAGGUAAUGAUUAAUAGGGAUAGUUGGGGGUGUUCGUAUUCAAUUGUCAGAGGUGAAAUUCUUGGAUUUAUGGAAGACGAACUACUGCGAAAGCAUUUACCAAGGAUGUUUUCAUUA